CACUUCCAAAUACUGAAGCCCAGAGGACACUCCCUGGAGGAGUCGGGGCAGGAAGGGUCUCAGCCUGCCAUGAGCAUGCGUGGCUUGCCUCCUCACUGCGGCCUACACUGGCCUGAAGCCUGACCUCCUCCUGCCUAAGAGACGGUGCUCAGCGGCAGGGCUCUUGUUGGCCUUUGAGAGGCCCUGGUUCCCAUCACUAGAACUAAAAAAUACCGAUGAAACUGCUUCAGAAUGACCAGAGCUACACAGGCAGAGCCAUGGAACCCGAGUAACCCAGAGCACUGUGAAAUGCCUAACCUGGAAGGAAGCAGAGUCAGCUCCCCUGGGAACUUGAGAUAGCUCCAUCAUCACAGAGAGGAGUUAGAAUCUCAGGAGGCAGCCCACUCUAUCUGCCAGCAACCUCACCCCAAAUACAGCUGCCUUCACUUUUUCACUCCUAAAUACUGAUCUGAAAGAAAGAAUUCUGUUGGCAAACUAGUAAUGUAAACUGAUUAUGUAAACCUUCUAAAUAAAAAACAGAAAUUACUUCAA
Peromyscus leucopus (white-footed mouse) is the source of this 531-nucleotide long non-coding RNA. RefSeq lists it as uncharacterized. NCBI's taxonomy places the organism in Eukaryota, Metazoa, Chordata, Mammalia, Rodentia, Cricetidae. The record is from RefSeq and is a predicted model, not a curated record. The transcript has 2 exons.